RNAcentral lists this ribosomal RNA (652 nucleotides) under uncultured Vibrio sp. RNAcentral describes it as "bacterial SSU rRNA". It matches the Rfam family "Bacterial small subunit ribosomal RNA", at positions 60 to 692 of the family's 1533-position model. Lineage: Bacteria; Pseudomonadati; Pseudomonadota; Gammaproteobacteria; Vibrionales; Vibrionaceae. The record is from RNAcentral.
AGUCGAGCGGAACGAGUUAUCUGAACCUUCGGGGAACGAUAACGGCGUCGAGCGGCGGACGGGUGAGUAAUGCCUAGGAAAUUGCCCUGGUGUGGGGGAUAACCAUUGGAAACGAUGGCUAAUACCGCAUAAUACCUUCGGGUCAAAGAGGGGGACCUUCGGGCCUCUCGCGUCAGGAUAUGCCUAGGUGGGAUUAGCUAGUUGGUGAGGUAAUGGCUCACCAAGGCGACGAUCCCUAGCUGGUCUGAGAGGAUGAUCAGCCACACUGGAACUGAGACACGGUCCAGACUCCUACGGGAGGCAGCAGUGGGGAAUAUUGCACAAUGGGCGCAAGCCUGAUGCAGCCAUGCCGCGUGUGUGAAGAAGGCCUUCGGGUUGUAAAGCACUUUCAGUCGUGAGGAAGGUAGUGUAGUUAAUAGCUGCAUUAUUUGACGUUAGCGACAGAAGAAGCACCGGCUAACUCCGUGCCAGCAGCCGCGGUAAUACGGAGGGUGCGAGCGUUAAUCGGAAUUACUGGGCGUAAAGCGCAUGCAGGUGGUUUGUUAAGUCAGAUGUGAAAGCCCGGGGCUCAACCUCGGAAUAGCAUUUGAAACUGGCAGACUAGAGUACUGUAGAGGGGGGUAGAAUUUCAGGUGUAGCGGUGAAAUGCGUA